Molecule: ribosomal RNA, 496 nt
Filed under: uncultured bacterium
Lineage: Bacteria
Description: partial 16S ribosomal RNA
Rfam family: Bacterial small subunit ribosomal RNA
Source: RNAcentral
AUGAACGCUGGCGGCGUGCCUAAUACAUGCAAGGCGAGCGAACAGAUAAGGAGCUUGCUCCUUUGACGUUAGCGGCGGACGGGUGAGUAACACGUGGGUAACCUACCUAUAAGACUGGAAUAACUCCGGGAAACCGGGGCUAAUGCCGGAUAACAUUUAGAACCGCAUGGUUCUAAAGUGAAAGAUGGUUUUGCUAUCACUUAUAGAUGGACCCGCGCCGGAUUAGCUAGUUGGUAAGGUAACGGCUUACCAAGGCAACGAUACGUAGCCGACCUGAGAGGGUGAUCGGCCACACUGGAACUGAGACACGGUCCAGACUCCCACGGGAGGCAGCAGUAGGGAAUCUUCCGCAAUGGGCGAAAGCCUGCCGGAGCAACGCCGCGUGAGUGAUGAAGGUCUUCGGAUCGUAAAACUCUGUUAUUAGGGAAGAACAAAUGUGUAAGUAACUGUGCACGUCUUGACGGUACCUAAUCAGAAAGCCACGGCUAACUACGUG